AACGAACGCUGGCGGCGUGGAUAAGACAUGCAAGUCGAACGGAACAUCAUGAGUAGCAAUACAAGUGUUGUUUAGUGGCGAACGGGUGCGUAACACGUGGAUACAUUCCGGAAAGCGGGGGAUAGCCCAGGGAAACUUGGAUUAAUACCGCAUGUGGCCGCAAGGCCAAAGACGGGGACCGCAAGGCCUGUCGCUUUCCGAUUGGUCCGCGGCCUAUCAGCUAGUUGGCGGGGUAAAAGCCCACCAAGGCUACGACGGGUAGCUGGUCUUAGAGGACGACCAGCCACACUGGAACUGAGACACGGUCCAGACACCUACGGGUGGCAGCAGUCGAGAAUCUUUCACAAUGGGGGCAACCCUGAUGGAGCGACGCCGCGUGGAGGAUAAGGUCUUCGGAUUGUAAACUCCUGUCAUGCGAGAACAAGGUUGCAGGGCUAACACCGCUGCAAAUUGAUGGUACCGCAAGAGGAAGAGACGGCUAACUCUGUG
This 489-nucleotide ribosomal RNA is filed under the name uncultured organism. RNAcentral describes it as "bacterial SSU rRNA". It matches the Rfam family "Bacterial small subunit ribosomal RNA", at positions 29 to 507 of the family's 1533-position model. The record is from RNAcentral.